Molecule: ribosomal RNA, 497 nt
Filed under: uncultured bacterium
Lineage: Bacteria
Description: partial 16S ribosomal RNA
Rfam family: Bacterial small subunit ribosomal RNA
Source: RNAcentral
GAUGAACGCUGGCGGCGUGCCUAAUACAUGCAAGUCGAGCGAACAGACGAGGAGCUUGCCCCUCUGACGUUAGCGGCGGACGGGUGAGUAACACGUGGAUAACCUACCUAUAAGACUGGGAUAACUUCGGGAAACCGGAGCUAAUACCGGAUAAUAUAUUGAACCGCAUGGUUCAAUAGUGAAAGACGGUUUUGCUGUCACUUAUAGAUGGAUCCGCGCCGCAUUAGCUAGUUGGUAAGGUAACGGCUUACCAAGGCAACGAUGCGUAGCCGACCUGAGAGGGUGAUCGGCCACACUGGAACUGAGACACGGUCCAGACUCCUACGGGAGGCAGCAGUAGGGAAUCUUCCGCAAUGGGCGAAAGCCUGACGGAGCAACGCCGCGUGAGUGAUGAAGGUCUUCGGAUCGUAAAACUCUGUUAUUAGGGAAGAACAAAUGUGUAAGUAACUAUGCACGUCUUGACGGCACCUAAUCAGAAAGCCACGGCUAACUACGUG